UGGGGGAUAUUGCACAAUGGGCGAUAGCCUGAUGCAGCGACGCCGCGUGGGGGAUGAAGGCCUUCGGGUUGUAAACUUCUUUUGCUCUGAACAAGGCAUGCCUUUGGGGUGUGUUGAGUGUAGGGGUUGAUUAGCGCCGGCUAACUACGUGCCAGCAGCCGCGGUAAUACGUAGGGCGCGAGCGUUGUCCGGAAUUAUUGGGCGUAAAGGGCUUGUAGGUGGCUGGUUGCGUCUGUCGUGAAAGCUCAUGGCUUAACUGUGGGUUUGCGGUGGGUACGGGCUGGCUUGAGUGCAGUAGGGGGGGCUGGAAUUCCUGGUGUAGCGGUGGAAUGCGCAGAUAUCAGGAGGAAUACCGGUGGCGAAGGCGGGUCUCUGGGCUGUUACUGACGCUGAGGAGCGAAAGCGUGGGGAGCGAACAGG
This 420-nucleotide ribosomal RNA is filed under the name Fusobacteriota bacterium. RNAcentral's name for it is "Fusobacteria bacterium partial 16S ribosomal RNA". It matches the Rfam family "Bacterial small subunit ribosomal RNA", at positions 355 to 776 of the family's 1533-position model. Lineage: Bacteria; Fusobacteriati; Fusobacteriota. The record is from RNAcentral.